This 744-nucleotide ribosomal RNA is filed under the name uncultured bacterium. RNAcentral's name for it is "bacterial SSU rRNA". It matches the Rfam family "Bacterial small subunit ribosomal RNA", at positions 8 to 796 of the family's 1533-position model. The record is from RNAcentral.
AGAGUUUGAUCAUGGCUCAGAGCGAACGCUGGCGGCAGGCUUAACACAUGCAAGUCGAGCGGGCGUAGCAAUACGUCAGCGGCAGACGGGUGAGUAACGCGUGGGAACAUACCUUUUGGUUCGGAACAACCCAGGGAAACUUGGGCUAAUACCGGAUAAGCCCUUACGGGGAAAGAUUUAUCGCCGAAAGAUUGGCCCGCGUCUGAUUAGCUAGUUGGUGAGGUAACGGCUCACCAAGGCGACGAUCAGUAGCUGGUCUGAGAGGAUGAUCAGCCACAUUGGGACUGAGACACGGCCCAAACUCCUACGGGAGGCAGCAGUGGGGAAUAUUGGACAAUGGGGGCAACCCUGAUCCAGCCAUGCCGCGUGAGUGAUGAAGGCCCUAGGGUUGUAAAGCUCUUUUGUGCGGGAAGAUAAUGACGGUACCGCAAGAAUAAGCCCCGGCUAACUUCGUGCCAGCAGCCGCGGUAAUACGAAGGGGGCUAGCGUUGCUCGGAAUCACUGGGCGUAAAGGGUGCGUAGGCGGGUCUUUAAGUCAGGGGUGAAAUCCUGGAGCUCAACUCCAGAACUGCCUUUGAUACUGAGGAUCUUGAGUCCGGGAGAGGUGAGUGGAACUGCGAGUGUAGAGGUGAAAUUCGUAGAUAUUCGCAAGAACACCAGUGGCGAAGGCGGCUCACUGGCCCGGUACUGACGCUGAGGCACGAAAGCGUGGGGAGCAAACAGGAUUAGAUACCCUGGUAGUCC